ACCUGGGAAGCACGCAGGACGGACGGACGGGAUGAGUAAAGCUCAGGACCUCCGAGACGUCUCACUUUCACCAUUCAUUCGGGGCGCUGGGAGGCGGAGGCCUCAGCAUUUCCUAACUUAUUUUUUUAUGAAGCACUCGCCUCACCCAGUAGACUGAGAGUGUGCUCCCCGUUGACCUCGGCUCAGAAAGAAGGGAAGUCCGAUGCUAAGUUCCUCUUCCUCUACCACGGGCUCCACGCACCCCAAGACCCCCCGGGAGGUCCCGAUCCUCCUUCAGAACCAGAGCACAAGGACCGUCUUUCAUGCUCUUUUCUUGGUAGAACCUGACCUGUUGCAGAGCCAAGCACCCCGCCUCUGUCUUGGGCACGCGACAGUCAGCCCUCGGGAACUUAGGUCCAGCCCAGUAAUGGACUUGUUGGCAUCCCCUCAUCUCCCAGUUAUGAAUUCCUUGGGUCCCGUGUGUCUCUACGUUCCAGUUGGUAGCACCGAACGAGUCUGCUGAAUGGAUUUUCCCUUAGUUUGAAUCCCUGCCUGGUUUGGCCAUAAGAAAACAAAUACCAUUCACGGGGUGUGUGACAUAGACGCUGGUGCUCCCCAAUUAUUCCAUGAGAUCCUGCAUAUUUUCCAGCCUUCCUGGCACUUAGCAUGGGGCCAGGUGACGAAUUCAAGUUCACGGGCACAAGGGGGAGUGAAGCAAUGCACAGCAUUUGCCACCCGAGGACACCGAGGAGGUUGAAAGCUGCACGCAUCUGCCGCGGUGGCUGGAAGCGAAGAACACUGAGACGGCGAAGGGGCCACAGAGAGCAUCUCUAAUGCGCACCACUGCUGAAAGGCGGCCACCAGAGAGGACAGGCUGAGCUGUAUCGGACUGCUCCGAAAGUGACAAAUAAGCCUCUGGCUUUGGAGGUUUGCUGCCACAGCAAAACUUAGCUUUACCCUGACCAACCACGGGUGAGUUUCACAAGCUGAAAGUGUAAGGAGGAGACAAGCUUGUGGAAUAUGACAGCAUCACUGGCUAGCAACAUCUUCUGAUAUCCUGGAAUUAGUCGGGAUGGGCCAUGGAUCUGGAUCUGAAACUUUUAAAUCGAAAUGGGGACAAGAGCAUCCCUAUGACGUCAUUGGAGAAUCUGAGGCAUAGAGAAGCGAAGGGAUGGGCUUCUCGGAUUAGGAGUGAGCGAAGCAUGAGAAGAGAGACCUCAAUUUCCCCUGGGCUGUUUCCCACCCUUCCUAGUUGGGAUUUCUCCUCCCCCAGCAUUUGUGCCCUUUGGGUUAGUAUUCUAGGCAUGAGACUGACCUAUUUCGAAGUGGGACAGGUUGGCAUCUCUAAAGCGGGUUCCACAGAAGACUCUGUUUUGAAGCAACAUGGUGGUAAAGAGGUUAACAUUGAAUGGGAGUUUUACUUCCAGGCAGGGAUCUCGAGCCCUGGCGGAAAGACUGCAGCUGCCCUGUGGCCCAGAUAAUGCAACAUCGGGCUGAGCAAGGACAUCUGAGAACAUUCUGUUCUCCUCCCCCGAGACCAAUUAAAAUCUGGAGGCAUCUUUCUUGUUGAUCGAGCUGACUAACUAAUUGAAACGGAAUUGUGAUAUUUUCAUCAGCUUUCUCUUAUCCCUCUUGGCCUUGCCAGCAGAGAGCAAGCUGAAUGAUCAGAGAGUUUCAAGCAUGUGAGGCCCAGGGAACGGAACCCCUCCCACCGUAAACCACUACAUUACCACGGAACAAGGUUCGAAAAAGGAUGAUGCGGGGUUGGGAGUAGGGCGAUACGCUCAAAUCUCAGUCUCAGUUCAUCCAGAUACCAAAGAUACCAUCUUCGGGAUUCCUGAUGAACCAUAACGCUGUCCUUCAGCAGUUGCUGCUCCAAUAAACCAGCUUCUGACCUCUGCCUUCCUAACGAACAUCCCUCUGCCUGACUGGGGAAGCUCCUAGAAACAAAGAACCAAACGCCUCUGAGGCCCAACAAGAUCCCUUUCCUUCCAUUGAGCUAGAAUGUAUUUCCUCGGCACGUGCAAAUGGCCUAGUGGUUAAUCUUAGCAUUGUCCCAAAGGACAUCCAAGCCUCUGGGAAUGGGUUACAUGAUUGAGAUUGCAGGACCUUUUUCUGCUUCAGCAUGAAGACCUGCAUGUUAGCAUUUGUGAGGAGAGCUCAAGAUGGGGGGAAGUCCUCUUGGCUCCUGAUCUAAGGAAGAGCUGCGUUUUGAAGCAUUGGUAGAAUUGCUCACGUGUCCAGUGUGAGGUGGCCUUGGCUGACAAGCUAUCAAAAUAAAUAAAUAACAAGAAAAU
RNAcentral lists this long non-coding RNA (2276 nucleotides) under Sus scrofa (pig). RNAcentral describes it as "lncRNA (ENSSSCG00030013473.1)". The record is from RNAcentral. Lineage: Eukaryota; Metazoa; Chordata; Mammalia; Artiodactyla; Suidae.